AUGGGUAGUUAGGAUCUACCUGUUCACAACUCCCUUGUAUUGUGCGGACGUAUGUUUGCGUGAUCGAUCUACCGCCACAGAGACAAAGACGUAAUCAAUACACAAGCAGAGAAGCAACCGACCAUGUCGUCCAGAAAACCGCCACCCAGCACCCAAAACCGUGCCGUUUACAUCACCACGGAGACAUGGUCUACAUGUUGGGCAACCAGAGAAAUGUGAACCUGAGGAUACCUUCCUACAGUCCUCGAGAGGUCAGCAGGUCCUUUUGCACGACAAGGAUGAGGGUAUAUAUAUGAGAGGAUCUGUCCAGGGCUACAGAAUGUCUCCUGUUGAAACAGUCGAGGGCCAAUUGUCGGCUGGCCGUCUUCUAGAAGUUGCGGAGCAAGACCACUUGCCAGUAAAUGGGGCUAUUCCGUACCCAC
Molecule: long non-coding RNA, 422 nt
Organism: Haliotis rubra (blacklip abalone)
Lineage: Eukaryota; Metazoa; Mollusca; Gastropoda; Lepetellida; Haliotidae
Exons: 3
Source: RefSeq, a predicted model, not a curated record